GACGAACGCUGGCGGCGUGCCUAAUACAUGCAAGUCGAGCGGACAGACGGGAGCUUGCUCCCUGAUGUUAGCGGCGGACGGGUGAGUAACACGUGGGUAACCUGCCUGUAAGACUGGGAUAACUCCGGGAAACCGGGGCUAAUACCGGAUGGUUGUCUGAACCGCAUGGUUCAGACAUAAAAGGUGGCUUCGGCUACCACUUACAGAUGGACCCGCGGCGCAUUAGCUAGUUGGUGAGGUAACGGCUCACCAAGGCAACGAUGCGUAGCCGACCUGAGAGGGUGAUCGGCCACACUGGGACUGAGACACGGCCCAGACUCCUACGGGAGGCAGCAGUAGGGAAUCUUCCGCAAUGGACGAAAGUCUGACGGAGCAACGCCGCGUGAGUGAUGAAGGUUUUCGGAUCGUAAAGCUCUGUUGUUAGGGAAGAACAAGUGCCGUUCAAAUAGGGCGGCACCUUGACGAUACCUAACCAGAAAGCCACGGCUAACUACGUG
RNAcentral lists this ribosomal RNA (497 nucleotides) under uncultured bacterium. RNAcentral's name for it is "partial 16S ribosomal RNA". It matches the Rfam family "Bacterial small subunit ribosomal RNA", at positions 28 to 507 of the family's 1533-position model. The record is from RNAcentral.